RNAcentral lists this ribosomal RNA (388 nucleotides) under uncultured microorganism. Its description in RNAcentral is "bacterial SSU rRNA". It matches the Rfam family "Archaeal small subunit ribosomal RNA", at positions 330 to 725 of the family's 1478-position model. The record is from RNAcentral.
GCGCAGCAGGCGAGAAACUUUACAAUGUGCGAAAGCACGAUAAGGGAACUCUGAGUGCCUCCUAAGGAGGCUGUUCAGGUGUCUAAAAGCACCUGAAGGAAGGGCUGGGUAAGACCGGUGCCAGCCGCCGCGGUAACACCGGCAGCCCAAGUGGUAGCCACGUUUAUUGGGUCUAAAGCGUCCGUAGCCGGCUGGGUAAGUUCCUUGGGAAAUUUGGCUGCUUAACAGUCAAGCUUUCAGGGAAUACUGCCCGGCUUGGGACCGGGAGAGGUCAGAGGUACUCCAGGGGUAGGGGUGAAAUCCAUUAAUCCUUGGGGGACCACCGGUAGCGAAGGCGUCUGACCAGACCGGGUCCGACGGUGAGGGACGAAGGCUAGGGGCGCGAACC